Molecule: non-coding RNA, 24 nt
Filed under: Arabidopsis thaliana (thale cress)
Lineage: Eukaryota; Viridiplantae; Streptophyta; Magnoliopsida; Brassicales; Brassicaceae
Source: RNAcentral
GGCGAGUUCCUCGGGUACCUGGUC